UAACCGUAGGUGAACCUGCGGUUGGAUCAUUAAAAAUUCAAGUUCGGGAUCGGUUCUUCACUCUUGUGUAAGGUGCCGAUCCGCAAACGAACCCACAUUAUGUGAACUGAACCGUCUCUGGCGGGUGGGUAGCAGCAAACACUGCUACCUGUCAGUAAAUGCGCUUGCAUUUGCCGUGGACACCCCGCCAACCAGGUCUUACACCUUUAUUGUUUUUUGAUGUCUGACAUAACCUGUAUAAAUAUACAAAACAACUUUUGGCAACGGAUCUCUUGGCUCUCGCAUCGAUGAAGAACGCAGC
This 301-nucleotide unclassified non-coding RNA is filed under the name uncultured fungus. RNAcentral describes it as "sequence contains ITS1, 5.8S rRNA gene". The stretch from base 253 to 301 matches the Rfam family "5.8S ribosomal RNA", at positions 1 to 49 of the family's 154-position model. The record is from RNAcentral. Lineage: Eukaryota; Fungi.